RNAcentral lists this small RNA (636 nucleotides) under Arabidopsis thaliana (thale cress). RNAcentral's name for it is "ATSL089510". Lineage: Eukaryota; Viridiplantae; Streptophyta; Magnoliopsida; Brassicales; Brassicaceae. The record is from RNAcentral.
AGAAAACAACAAGAAAAACACACAGUUAGUAAUCGAAAAGAAAAUGGAAAAAGAACUAGAUCUAAGCAAGUCUGAAAUCUCAAAUGUAACAAACAAACACCCAAUUGGCAACGGCACCAAAUUGAUAAUAGGUUUUUUAGUCAAUUAUCCUAAAACACUAAUCAUGUCGUUGUAGUAUUUUAGGUUGUCAAUCCAAAUGGGUGUGAUGCUAACAAUCAAGAUGUGAUCAGAAGUCACUAAAUCAAGCCAAGCAAUAACAGGUUUUGGUGUGUUCUAGCAGUCCUAAGUGAACAUGCAGAAAACAGAAAAUCAAGUAGAAACAGUAAAACACUCGACCAACACAGCUCGUUGCAGAGCACUGGGUAAGGUCGAGUGACAGGUCGAGUAACAGGCAGUAAACGAAACAAAGACACUCGACUACACAGUCUGUUGCCAGACAACUGGGUGGUCGAGUAUCAGGUCGAGUAACAGGAAAGAAUUGUAGAAACUAAGCAACAUAUGACAAGAUGCAGUAAACAACAGUAGAGUAAACAAUAAAAUCAAUCAGAUAAAGAAUUCCCAAGAUGGGGUAAUUGAGUAGUUUCGUUUCCUCAGUUUACAAGUGAUUGACAUGCUCAGUAAAUUAUCCCUAGACAA